GUGGAUUAGAUACCCGGGUAGUCCACGCCCUAAACGAUGUCGACUAGUCGUUCGGAGCAGCAAUGCACUGAGUGACGCAGCUAACGCGUGAAGUCGACCGCCUGGGGAGUACGGCCGCAAGGUUAAAACUCAAAGGAAUUGACGGGGACCCGCACAAGCGGUGGAUGAUGUGGAUUAAUUCGAUGCAACGCGAAAAACCUUACCUACCCUUGACAUGUCUGGAACCUUGGUGAGAGCCGAGGGUGCCUUCGGGAGCCAGAACACAGGUGCUGCACGGCCGUCGCCAACU
This 289-nucleotide ribosomal RNA is filed under the name uncultured bacterium. Its description in RNAcentral is "partial 16S ribosomal RNA". It matches the Rfam family "Bacterial small subunit ribosomal RNA", at positions 773 to 1060 of the family's 1533-position model. The record is from RNAcentral.